GUUGGACCCGGGUGUGAGGGGUUACACUUGCACACAGGGAUUUUUUAAAGCACACAUACAAAUACAACAACAAGAAACAUAGUUGGCUAAUAAAAAAUAAGAGCAAAAUCUAAAAGUAUCAGACACAAUCAGGUUUAGUCAUAAUAAGAUUAUGAAUAUUACAAUAUUACAAAUAAAUAUCAACCGAGUUUACAAAAACAUUGCACUAAGCAGCAGGGUAUGGCACUUUGUCAUUUUGCCUUGGGAGGCAUUUAACUGUUUAAGAGGGAAAUGGCCUGUGGGAAGAAGCCAUUCCUGUGCCCAGUGAUCUGAAUCACCAUUCAGACGGCAACAGUUCAAACAGGUGGUGUUCAGGGGGAGUGAAGUCUGAUGAUUUUACCUGCCCUUUCUUACUCUGAAAGAGGGGGACCAAUAAUCUUCAGCAGUCCGGACUGUCUGUUGUAGUCUCUGUAGGUCUGAUUUUGGUAGCUAACCCAAACCAUACCAUACUUAUAGAAGUGCAUAGAACAGACUCAAUGAUGGCUGUGCAUUCGAGUGCUUUCUAUAACGUCCACUGUAGUUUCGAACACCGUUACAAAUGGCUGUUCCCUAAAUACCCUAUUUGAGGGUAUAGGGUGAUUUCGGAUGUAGCCAAUGUGAUUGUCUCACUUCAGGUCCUGAGAGAUGGUGGUUCCCAGGAACCCGAAUGACUCCACUACUUCCACAGUGUGCUACUCAUGAAGGGGGAAGAGGUGACGCUAAUGCCUCGUGUGCUUUUACUCCAUUGACACCAUCAGGAACAAAUGUAUAGGAGCCACGGACGUGGGAAUCAGAACCCCAUCUGGUGAUCAGUGUCUUUGAGACUUCUGGCACUGACCAGCCCGUGAAAGACCUGAGCAACCUUAAAAGACAAAACAGAGUUUGUUAUAUAUGGAGAGAGGCAUGAUAUUUGGCCAUGGUAAAAUGAUCAUCUAUUCCAUCAUUUAUGUCACCAUACCUCACACAGAUGGCUCCGAUUUCACUGUCCUGAAGAUUCUCCAUAUACAGAGCUUCUCUACCUGUGAUCCAGCCACACAGAGUCGUGGGAUGACGAGCCACUGUGUCAAAACCAGUGAUCUUCUUGAACCACGUCUUUUUCCAGGUUUCUCCUUCAGACAGAGACUCAUAAACAUCUUUAUCUUCAGGCCCUUCUUUCCACACCAGCUGAACCCCGGAACAGUCGUCUGGCCAGAAA
Non-coding RNA from Pimephales promelas (fathead minnow), 1213 nucleotides. Lineage: Eukaryota; Metazoa; Chordata; Actinopteri; Cypriniformes; Leuciscidae. The record is from RefSeq and is a predicted model, not a curated record.